This is a long non-coding RNA of Austrofundulus limnaeus, 2236 nucleotides long. RefSeq lists it as uncharacterized. The transcript is spliced from 2 exons. The record is from RefSeq and is a predicted model, not a curated record. NCBI's taxonomy places the organism in Eukaryota, Metazoa, Chordata, Actinopteri, Cyprinodontiformes, Rivulidae.
AGACAGGAAACACAGACAGGAUUCCAUGCAACCUUCAGGUGAAAAUGAAGACCCCAAACCCAGACCCAAACCAGUGUUCCAGUGGGUAUUAACAGAGAAAUGUUAAUGUGUUUUUCCCCCUCGAUCUAAAUCGGAUCAUGGGACCGGAUAUUGUUUUUACUCGAGAACUAAUUAGGUUGGUAUCUUAUAUUGACUUUCAUUGUAGUAAAAUUGCAUAAUUUUAUCUCAUGUAAUGCAAAACAUAUAGUUUUUUCUUUGUACUGCAGUGUGAGAUUCGGUGGUCUUUGUUUUGCUUUAGGGGACACUCAAACCGCAGCUGUUCAGUCCAGUUCCUGCUGGAGAGCAGAAGAACCGCCUCCUCACUACAACCCAGGAUAUCUGUGCAGGAGGAGCCAGGUCCCAUCAGUCAAACAGGAGAAGAAGGAGUAUUCCUGUAAAAUGAGAUGACAGCAUGCUGCUUGGAUUGAAUAUGCAAAACGGUUCGAUAGAUCUGGUAAGACCCACACUUCUCAAGGUUUACUUUUUCAGGCGAGCCCUGAUCCACACCCAUGUCUAAGCAGAGCCUGAAGGAAGUGUUUUUUAUGUACCUUUAUUUACUGGUCACUAACAGUGUCCUCAGUUAGCCUUCAUAAGCUAAGGUAAGUUAAGGUAAGGUAAGGUAAAAUGUGUUUAUUUAGCACUUUUCAGCAGUAAGGCAAAGUGCUUUAUAUGAUACAAAAAAUGACACAAAAAAAAGGACAGGCAGUACGUCAUAACACAAAUAGGCAGUAUAAAUCUAAUUAGGUGAAAAGGCAGUAUAAUUUAAGACAUCAUAGCAUACUUUCUGUUUAUUAACCACUGUUCAUAGUUCCAUAGUACUAAGCACUGGAUGACCUUUUAAAUGUAACUAAGUAAUCUGGAUAAUAUACUAAGUAAUAAGAUAACAAACUGCUAAAAGUGAUGGCUGUGUAAUACUAACAUUUGUUUUAUAAGUCCCAGAAGUCAAUCACAUUUCAGCACAAUCUGUUGCAACAAACAAACAAACAGAACACAAGAGAGGAAGACCUGUGCAACAGAAUGGGGGACACACACAAAAACACAUUUGCCAGGAGAGCAGGGGAUGUGUGGUCUUUGUGAUGUGUGUGUAUGUGUGUGUGCACAAUUUUACAAGAUAAAAUUAUAUUAUUUCUGUUUUGUUAUAUGCCUGUAAAUUAUAUUUAAAAAUAAACGUUUUGUACCAUUAAAAAAAUGCUCCUAUCUUUUGUUGAUUCUUACCUUUUUGGGUGAUUUCAUUGCUUUGCCAGUAGAUGUCACUGUUGUCUCAUCUUCUUUCACCACACAGGGAUGUGAAGCAGCAAUUUAGUUGUUGGCUUGAUUUUGUGAAUUAAACAGGUAUUUUUUUUACAAAAAAACAAAAGUGUUUUAUUCUCCCAGACAGUGACUGAGUCAACAGUACAAAGAUGGAUCUAAAUAAAUCACAUCCUGGUUACCCCCUCACCUGGACCCUACAUGSACCCUCAAACACGUGAGAAAAAAAUUAAUAGAGUACAAGUGCAUUUAGUUGUAUUUUGUUUUCUUUCAAACACAUAUUUGAUUUGUAAUAUAWACAUUUUGAUUAUUAGGCUGUGAUUAUUAGGAAGGUAAGAAAUCAAAGUUUUUGUUUAAGCAGCUGCUGAUUUGACUAUCUGUGACAGAAGUGAUGGCAAUAGAUAGAGGUGAGUAAUGGUUGGAGUACAAAUUCAGUUACAUGAAAAAAAUUAUAUAUGUAUUUAUUUAUUUAUACAGUAUGUCUUGUUUCAGCUGCAGGUGCCCUCCAUCACCCAGCUCCAGCACAGAAGUUCACAGUCUAACUUUUACAGCUCACACAAUUAAGAAAAGAAACAAAUGUGUCCUGUGUGAUACUGUACUGAUAAGGUUUGGAAAUGUGCAGAAAUAUACCUAAUAAUCAAUGAAUGGAUGUCUUUAUGCACUUAAAUCUGCACUAAACACAAAUUAAUUAUUUUUGCAGGUAAAUAAAAGCAUCUCCUUCUCAAGUCUGUAUGGUUUUGUUGUGGCUAUUUCAAGAUGUUUCAGCGAACAUUUUGAUUCUAUAUGUUGUUGUCAACCAGUUUCUUAGGUUUCGGAGGUGUUUGUGCAACUCAUUCUAACUUUUAAACAUUUUUAUGGAGUCUGGGCAAAGUACUCAGCUUUUUAUUUUAGACUUUUCAUUUCCCUUUCUUCUGUUUGUUGAUGGYAAAUAAAAAUGAUGUGGUGGAGA